UGUGAUUCUCGAUGAUGAAGAUCUUGCGAAGGAAACUGAAGAUACGUUUAGUGGAAAAUAAAAUUACUGAGGAGAUCGCAGGUGUAACAUGAGAGUUUAGAAGAAAUAUCUUCGAAGAAUUGUAUGAUUGUUUAGAAAGUUUGAUUUAAAUCGGGGGUGUAAAUUUAUGUAAUAAACAGAUCCAGUUUCUCGUCUAAACGAUGAAUCUUGCACGUGCUCGAGAAAGAAGAUAUCGGCGGAGAACUAUAAAAUUUACAGCGGUGUUUAUGAACCGUGGCUUUUUACAUCAAUGUUGAUGUUUUUAAAACAUCGUUUUUUUUUUAAACACCAAUUGAAUCACGAAAAACAUCUCGAUAGAACAUCUAAGAAUGUUCUUGGAUUGACCCAGUAACUUUGUCCAAUAUGAAUUCUUCAAGAUAAAUUUAUUAAAGUAUUUAAUUACAUUGAAUACCUUGUAGAUAAUUUUACUUUCCCACAAAUCGUAAGAAUUUUAUAUGCCUAUAAUUUUAUAAACAGGGAAUGAGGAAAAUAGCGACUAUAAGAGUUGCAUUCCAUUCGACUAUGACUUGGCAUAGAGCGAACAUCGAUUGAACCUACGCAAAGAAUGCACAAAGCGAGCGUACACGUGCACAACACGAACAAUCAAUCCUUUCAACAAACUUCAAGGCUACAGAAAAAGGAGGCAAAUGCAGAUUAAAAACAGGAGAAUGAAAUAUUGUUGAAAAGAUAUAAACAAAUGGAAAAAGUUGAUGUCUGUGCAGACACAUUGUCGGUUCAUUAAAAUUUCCUACAUACUGAGACGAAUUCCAUUCCUUUCGACGAAUGAAUAGUCCGUUUGUUCGCAAACUGGAGCACAAGAAGCAUGACGUUGCGUAAGAUAAAUUACGUGUUUGUUCAUAGAAACGACAAUGUAUUGGUAGUGAUGAUGUGUCGCGCAAAACAUAGUCUUUUUCCUUCUAACAUUGAAAUAUUUAUACACCUGGAAUGGAAGUAUGUCAAAAUGACCAAGAUAAAACAAUGGGUUUCCAUAAAUUCUAUUUAUUGAUUUUUCACUUUUUCUCUUUUGCAAUUUAUAUUUUUCUCAAAACAGCUCCAACUAUUGGUAUAUAACAUACAACCUUCUUUAAAAAUCAAUUACGGUGUAGAAACAAAUUUAAAAUCGGGCAUCAAUUUGUUUCUUGAAGUAGUACAAUAUUGUGUGUUUAUCAAAACAUUAAGAUGAAAAAUAAGUUUUAGAUACUAGCACUUACCUUGGAAGA
This is a long non-coding RNA of Bombus pascuorum, 1259 nucleotides long. RefSeq lists it as uncharacterized. The record is from RefSeq and is a predicted model, not a curated record. Lineage: Eukaryota; Metazoa; Arthropoda; Insecta; Hymenoptera; Apidae. The transcript has 2 exons.